This 867-nucleotide ribosomal RNA is filed under the name uncultured bacterium. RNAcentral describes it as "bacterial SSU rRNA". It matches the Rfam family "Bacterial small subunit ribosomal RNA", at positions 8 to 916 of the family's 1533-position model. The record is from RNAcentral.
AGAGUUUGAUCAUGGCUCAGGGUGAAUGCUGGCGGCGUGGAUAAGUCAUGCAAGUCAAGGGGGCCCGCAAGGGCAACCGGCAGACGAGGUAGUAACACGUAGGUAGAUCCCCCGAAGUCGGGCAUAGCCAUCCGAAAGGAUGGGUAAUUCCCGAUAGUCCCGCAAGGGUAAAGGUUUUUCGCUUCGGGAGUUGCCUGCGUAGUAUCAGCUAGUUGGUAGGGUAACGGCCUACCAAGGCUACGACGCUUAGGGGGGCUGAGAGGCCGAUCCCCACCGAUGGAACUGCGACACGGUCCAUACUCCUACGGGAGGCUGCAGACGAGAAUAUUCCGCAAUGGACGAAAGUCUGACGGAGCGACGCCGCGUGAUGGAUGAAGUGCCUUGGUACGUAAACAUCUUUUAUCGGGGACGAAGUUUAUUGACGGUACCCGAUGAAUAAGGAGCUCCUAACUCUGUGCCAGCAGGAGCGGUAAUACAGAGGCUCCAAGCAUUACCCGGAAUCACUGGGCGUAAAGGGUGUCUAGGCGGCCAUAUUAGUCUUUCGUUAAAUCUGCGGGCUUAACCUGCAGGCUGCGAGGGAAACGGUAUGGCUCGAGGGCGUAAGAGGUGCACGGAACUCAUGGUGGAGGGGUGAAAUCCGUUGAUAUCAUGGGGAACACCAAAGGCGAAGGCAGUGCACUGGUACGUUCCUGACGCUCAAACACGAAAGCCAGGGUAGCGAACGGGAUUAGAUACCCCGGUAGUCCUGGCCCUCAACGUUGCUCGCUCGUUUUACGGAGUAUCGACCCUCUGUGAGACUAAGCUAACGCGGUAAGCGAGCCGCCUGGGUAGUACGAUCGCAAGAUUAAAACUCAAAGGAAUUGACGG